UGCAUCAAGAGAACAAACCCAAUACCAUAAUUUGCCCCCAUUAUGAAAAGAAAGCCAUCUAUCCUUCCAUACACGAAUUGUAAAACCAUCCCCCACUCAUCGUCGAAUGCUAGAUUCUAAAGCUUGCUUAGCUCGAAUGAUACUUCUCCAUAAAUAACUUGAUUGAUGACCAAGGGAUGCUUCCAAAAUUGAGUAGUUAGGAAAGUAUCAACUUUUUAGAACACGAGAUGCCAAGGAUAGGCGUUGUGUUAAAAUUCUCUACACAUGUUUAAACAACAUGGUGAGAUUAAAAUUUUGGAAUGUUUGAAAGCCCAAUCCUCCCUUGAAUUUUGCAUUUGGUAAUCUAUCCUAGCUACGCCAAUGAAUCUUUCUAACAUCACUACUUG
This 386-nucleotide unclassified non-coding RNA is filed under the name Hevea brasiliensis (rubber tree). The record is from RNAcentral. Lineage: Eukaryota; Viridiplantae; Streptophyta; Magnoliopsida; Malpighiales; Euphorbiaceae.